CCUCAUAAAGCAUCUCUCUGCUUCAUAUGAACUGUACCAGACUACAAGCAAUAAAUAUAAAACUAUUCUGCAAAACAUUAACACUGAGGAAUCAUUAGAGCAACUUAACAAUGUCCAGCUUCUUAAUGUGGAAAGAGAAAGCUUUAUCCUGCUAGCUAAAGCAAAGGCAGAAGCAAAAUUAACGCAGCCACAGGACACUGUAUCUCACAGAUCCGUAUCCACCAGACAUUCUAAAAG
Molecule: non-coding RNA, 237 nt
Organism: Pelobates cultripes (western spadefoot toad)
Lineage: Eukaryota; Metazoa; Chordata; Amphibia; Anura; Pelobatidae
Source: the annotation of a GenBank genome assembly